CCUACGGGUGGCAGCAGUGAGGAAUAUUGGUCAAUGGCCGAGAGGCUGAACCAGCCAAGUCGCGUGAGGGAAGACGGCCCUACGGGUUGUAAACCUCUUUUGUCGGGGAGCAAAGCGAGUCACGUGUGACUCAUUGAGAGUACCCGAAGAAAAAGCAUCGGCUAACUCCGUGCCAGCAGCCGCGGUAAUACGGAGGAUGCGAGCGUUAUCCGGAUUUAUUGGGUUUAAGGGGUGCGCAGGGGGAGGUGCAAGUCAGCGGUAAAAUUGCGGGGCUCAACCUCGUCGAGCCGUUGAAACUGGGUGCCUGGAGUGGGCGAGAAGUACGCGGAAUGCGUGGUGUAGCGGUGAAAUGCAUAGAUAUCACGCAGAACUCCGAUGGCGAAGGCAGCGUACCGGCGCCCAACUGACGCUGAAGCACGAAGGCGUGGGGAGCGAACAGGAUUAGAUACCCGAGUAGUC
RNAcentral lists this ribosomal RNA (459 nucleotides) under uncultured bacterium. RNAcentral describes it as "partial 16S ribosomal RNA". It matches the Rfam family "Bacterial small subunit ribosomal RNA", at positions 338 to 795 of the family's 1533-position model. The record is from RNAcentral.